UUGGACUUAUACUAAAGACCUCUAUUUACCCAGCAAACCUGUACAGCCUAGGCGGAAGCCGUGCAAGCUUCCCAACCAUAAGUCAGAGGGGCCAUCACUGUGCAUGAAAGGGAUGUUCAGUCUUCAUGUCUCAUUCAGUCCUCGGCCUCU
RNAcentral lists this small RNA (150 nucleotides) under Chrysemys picta bellii (western painted turtle). RNAcentral's name for it is "TUC338 (ENSCPBG00000019510.1)". The record is from RNAcentral. Lineage: Eukaryota; Metazoa; Chordata; Testudines; Emydidae.